RNAcentral lists this ribosomal RNA (506 nucleotides) under uncultured bacterium. RNAcentral describes it as "partial 16S ribosomal RNA". It matches the Rfam family "Bacterial small subunit ribosomal RNA", at positions 30 to 523 of the family's 1533-position model. The record is from RNAcentral.
AUUGAACGCUGGCGGCAGGCUUAACACAUGCAAGUCGAGCGGUAACAGAGAGAAGCUUGCUUCUCUGCUGACGAGCGGCGGACGGGUGAGUAAUGCCUAGGAAUCUGCCCAGUAGUGGGGGAUAACUUGCCGAAAGGUAAGCUAAUACCGCAUACGUCCUACGGGAGAAAGGAGGGGACCUUCGGGCCUUUCGCUAUUAGAUGAGCCUAGGUCGGAUUAGUUAGUUGGUGAGGUAAUGGCUCACCAAGACCGCGAUCCGUAACUGGUCUGAGAGGAUGAUCAGUAACACUGGAACUGAGACACGGUCCAGACUCCUACGGGAGGCAGCAGUGGGGAAUAUUGGACAAUGGGGGGAACCCUGAUCCAGCCAUGCCGCGUGUGUGAAGAAGGUCUUAGGAUUGUAAAGCACUUUAAGUUGGGAGGAAGAGCAGUUAACUAAUAUUUGACUGUUUUGACGUUACCGACAGAAUAAGCACCGGCUAACUUCGUGCCAGCAGCCGCGGUAA